This 29-nucleotide non-coding RNA is filed under the name Mus musculus (house mouse). The record is from RNAcentral. Lineage: Eukaryota; Metazoa; Chordata; Mammalia; Rodentia; Muridae.
UAGUCUGAAGGAAACGGAACGGUGCUUCC